UGGCGUGGUAGUUGCCUAGAAAUAGUCUCUAAUUAGCCAUAUUUUGUGAAUAUAAUUAAAACAUGUUAUAUUUUCAUUCAACAGCUUUCGAAGGUGAUCUCGCUAUUUUGAAUCAAGCGCCGCUCAGACCGCUACUGUUUAGUCACGUGCUGUUCCUCGAGAAAAACAGCGCUGGAUCUUCAACGCCACGGAAAUCUAUACAUCACACAACAACAGUGCGCCC
Sinocyclocheilus grahami is the source of this 223-nucleotide long non-coding RNA. RefSeq lists it as uncharacterized. The transcript has 2 exons. The record is from RefSeq and is a predicted model, not a curated record. NCBI's taxonomy places the organism in Eukaryota, Metazoa, Chordata, Actinopteri, Cypriniformes, Cyprinidae.